UUAUCACUUUUCCAGCCCAGC
Molecule: microRNA, 21 nt
Filed under: Gadus morhua (Atlantic cod)
Lineage: Eukaryota; Metazoa; Chordata; Actinopteri; Gadiformes; Gadidae
Description: gmo-miR-184-5p
Gene: gmo-miR-184-5p
Source: miRBase by way of RNAcentral